This 1490-nucleotide ribosomal RNA is filed under the name metagenome. RNAcentral describes it as "bacterial SSU rRNA". It matches the Rfam family "Bacterial small subunit ribosomal RNA". The record is from RNAcentral.
AGAGUUUGAUCCUGGCUCAGGAUGAACGCUGGCGGCGUGCUUAACACAUGCAAGUCGAGCGAAGCACUUAAGUUUGAUUCUUCGGAUGAAGACUUUUGUGACUGAGCGGCGGACGGGUGAGUAACGCGUGGGUAACCUGCCUCAUACAGGGGGAUAACAGUUGGAAACGACUGCUAUACCGCAUAAGCGCACAGGGUCGCAUGACCUGGUGUGAAAAACUCCGGUGGUAUGAGAUGGACCCGCGUCUGAUUAGCCAGUUGGUGGGGUAACGGCCUACCAAAACGACGAUCAGUAGCCGACCUGAGAGGGUGACCGGCCACAUUGGGACUGAGACACGGCCCAAACUCCUACGGGAGGCAGCAGUGGGGAAUAUUGCACAAUGGGGGAAACCCUGAUGCAGCGACGCCGCGUGAGCGAAGAAGUAUUUCGGUAUGUAAAGCUCUAUCAGCAGGGAAGAAGAAAUGACGGUACCUGACUAAGAAGCACCGGCUAAAUACGUGCCAGCAGCCGCGGUAAUACGUAUGGUGCAAGCGUUAUCCGGAUUUACUGGGUGUAAAGGGAGCGCAGGCGGUACGGCAAGUCUGAUGUGAAAGCCCGGGGCUCAACCCCGGUACUGCAUUGGAAACUGUCGGACUAGAGUGUCGGAGGGGUAAGUGGAAUUCCUAGUGUAGCGGUGAAAUGCGUAGAUAUUAGGAGGAACACCAGUGGCGAAGGCGGCUUACUGGACGAUUACUGACGCUGAGGCUCGAAAGCGUGGGGAGCAAACAGGAUUAGAUACCCUGGUAGUCCACGCUGUAAACGAUGAAUACUAGGUGUCGGGGAGCAUUGCUCUUCGGUGCCGCAGCAAACGCAAUAAGUAUUCCACCUGGGGAGUACGUUCGCAAGAAUGAAACUCAAAGGAAUUGACGGGGACCCGCACAAGCGGUGGAGCAUGUGGUUUAAUUCGAAGCAACGCGAAGAACCUUACCAAGUCUUGACAUCCCGAUGACAGAACAUGUAAUGUGUUUUCUCUUCGGAGCAUCGGUGACAGGUGGUGCAUGGUUGUCGUCAGCUCGUGUCGUGAGAUGUUGGGUUAAGUCCAGCAACGAGCGCAACCCCUAUUCUUAGUAGCCAGCGGUUCGGCCGGGCACUCUAGGGAGACUGCCAGGGAUAACCUGGAGGAAGGUGGGGAUGACGUCAAAUCAUCAUGCCCCUUAUGACUUGGGCUACACACGUGCUACAAUGGCGUAAACAAAGGGAAGCGAGCCUGCGAGGGGGAGCAAAUCUCAAAAAUAACGUCUCAGUUCGGACUGCAGUCUGCAACUCGACUGCACGAAGCUGGAAUCGCUAGUAAUCGCGAAUCAGAAUGUCGCGGUGAAUACGUUCCCGGGUCUUGUACACACCGCCCGUCACACCAUGGGAGUUGGUAAUGCCCGAAGUCAGUGACCUAACCGCAAGGAGGGAGCUGCCGAAGGCAGGAUCGAUAACUGGGGUGAAGUCGUAACAAGGUA